GGAAAAUUCGUCAUUAGGUAAGACAAAUUAUUUGCUAAGUAAUUGAAUUUUUAUUCUUAUGAGUUCAAACCUCAUAUUUUCCG
RNAcentral lists this transfer RNA (83 nucleotides) under Zygosaccharomyces mellis. RNAcentral's name for it is "tRNA-Ser". It matches the Rfam family "tRNA". Rfam says of the family: Transfer RNA (tRNA) molecules are approximately 80 nucleotides in length. Their secondary structure includes four short double-helical elements and three loops (D, anti-codon, and T loops). RNAcentral also lists the same sequence under 1 other name. The record is from RNAcentral. Lineage: Eukaryota; Fungi; Ascomycota; Saccharomycetes; Saccharomycetales; Saccharomycetaceae.